Molecule: ribosomal RNA, 885 nt
Filed under: Triangularia setosa
Lineage: Eukaryota; Fungi; Ascomycota; Sordariomycetes; Sordariales; Podosporaceae
Description: Podospora setosa partial 28S ribosomal RNA
Rfam family: Eukaryotic large subunit ribosomal RNA
Source: RNAcentral
AUUCAAUAAGCGGAGGAAAAGAAACCAACAGGGAUUGCCUCAGUAACGGCGAGUGAAGCGGCAACAGCUCAAAUUUGAAAUCUGGCCUCGGCCCGAGUUGUAAUUUGUAGAGGAAGCUUUUGGUGCGGCACCGACCGAGUCCCCUGGAACGGGGCGCCAUAGAGGGUGAGAGCCCCGUAUGGUUGGACGCCUAUCCUCUGUAAAGCUCCUUCGACGAGUCGAGUAGUUUGGGAAUGCUGCUCAAAAUGGGAGGUAAAUUUCUUCUAAAGCUAAAUAUUGGCCAGAGACCGAUAGCGCACAAGUAGAGUGAUCGAAAGAUGAAAAGCACUUUGAAAAGAGGGUUAAAUAGCACGUGAAAUUGUUGAAAGGGAAGCGCUUGUGACCAGACUUGCGCCUCGUCGAUCAUCCGGGGUUCUCCCCGGUGCACUCGGCGGGGCUCAGGCCAGCAUCGGUUUUCGUGGGGGGACAAAGGCACCGGGAACGUAGCUCCUCCGGGAGUGUUAUAGCCCGGGGCGUAAUGCCCUCGCGGGGACCGAGGACCGCGCUUCGGCAAGGAUGCUGGCGUAAUGGUCAUCAGCGACCCGUCUUGAAACACGGACCAAGGAGUCAAGGUUUUGCGCGAGUGUUUGGGUGUAAAACCCGCACGCGUAAUGAAAGUGAACGUAGGUGAGAGCUUCGGCGCAUCAUCGACCGAUCCUGAUGUAUUCGGAUGGAUUUGAGUAGGAGCGUUAAGCCUUGGACCCGAAAGAUGGUGAACUAUGCUUGGAUAGGGUGAAGCCAGAGGAAACUCUGGUGGAGGCUCGCAGCGGUUCUGACGUGCAAAUCGAUCGUCAAAUCUGAGCAUGGGGGCGAAAGACUAAUCGAACCAUCUAGUACUGGUUCCGC